This is a long non-coding RNA of Haliotis rubra (blacklip abalone), 1328 nucleotides long. RefSeq lists it as uncharacterized. The record is from RefSeq and is a predicted model, not a curated record. The transcript is spliced from 4 exons. Lineage: Eukaryota; Metazoa; Mollusca; Gastropoda; Lepetellida; Haliotidae.
CAGUCGAGCAGUUCCCGACAAUACGCCCGGGUACAUAAUGUAUAAAUAAUGUAAUGUAUGCAAUGUUGUGUAACUACCAGCUUGAAGUAUCCAGAUCGUUCUGUACUGCACCCAGUAAAGCGAAGCUGUUUUGAAAUAUUUCCAGAUCCACCUGCUGCUGAGAGUGACAGAACUGGACAUGGACUGUAACUGGUGGCGCCAUGCAGGAUCCAGAUGAGGCGGUCGGAGACUCGGACCACUGUGAAACCUGCUCUAAACUUUUGGAUUGUACAGAGGAUUUCAACCUUCCAGAGGACAACGUGUUGCUUAUUGAUGUAGAUGUUAAGGUAAUAAACACACCUCUUGGUGAAUUUAAUAAGAAGAAACGACAAGACGAGAGGAAGAGUUUUGUUAACAAGCUUAAUAAAAACAUAUCAGCUCUGAGGAACACGGCAGGAGGCAUAGUGCUGGUUCACCUACAGGGAUUAGUAUCGGAAGACAAAUGCCUUGACUACUUCCAUGAAAUAGUCGAUGUGAAACUGAAUGAUAUGAUCGAAGAUGGCAGUCUCUUUGUGCAGAGUUACAAGAAGGAUUGGCUUCUAGAAAACGAAUCAAACAGUGAAAAUAUCAGUCGUUUUCAAGGGUUUGUUGCUAUCCAUGUAACAGGUUCUCGCAUUGUGACAACAUUCAACUUCAAAUCAAAACAACCGCUUGAUAACUGUGUAAUUGAUGUACAAAGUAAUGUAGCCAUACAAUUUCUAAAACGGAAAAACUGUUUUGAAGACAAACGUACGUCAAUUCGGGACAUACCACAGAUCAAUGAACAGCGAAACAUUCAACUAAAACGUUUUGACACUGCCAAGGAAGAUACUUUGCAAAGUGUUCACAAAUUCAAAGACUUUCUUUGGAAAUAAUGUUGGUUAGGUGAAUAUAUAAGUGCCUUUUCUAAGUUAAAUGGUGGUGGGUCUUUCUUCCUUGGCAUCAACGAGAACGAUGAACUAUACGGUGCCUACACAUCUAAGACGUUUUCAUCAACUGGCAUAAAAUUCAAAGAUUCGAAUUUUCGUCAAGAGACCGAAGCCGCCAUUUUCCAGUCUUUGGAGGAGAAUACUGUUAUCGUGACAUACAGUGGAGUGCCACUGGAAACUCCUCGCAACACUAUUCAAGUUGCAUUCCAUGCCGUAGAGGCAGACAAGUUUGUGCUGGAGGUUGCUGUUGCAGCAGUAGAUGGUUUACUGUUUUACGACAAGGAAGGCCCAGAAGCUUACGAGCAUGAAAAUAGCAGACUGAGGAGGUUAUUGAUCACAGAGUGGUACGAACGAUUGUGUAUCGAGACUGAUGGCGAUGCU